This 245-nucleotide ribosomal RNA is filed under the name uncultured Thalassobaculum sp. Its description in RNAcentral is "partial 16S ribosomal RNA". It matches the Rfam family "Bacterial small subunit ribosomal RNA", at positions 524 to 768 of the family's 1533-position model. The record is from RNAcentral. Lineage: Bacteria; Pseudomonadati; Pseudomonadota; Alphaproteobacteria; Rhodospirillales; Thalassobaculaceae.
UACGAAGGGGGCAAGCGUUGUUCGGAAUUACUGGGCGUAAAGGGCGCGCAGGCGGCCAUUCAAGUCAGAUGUGAAAGCCCCGGGCUCAACCUGGGAAUAGCAUUUGGGACUGGACGGCUAGAGAUCGGGAGAGGAGAGUGGAAUUCCCAGUGUAGAGGUGAAAUUCGUAGAUAUUGGGAAGAACACCAGUGGCGAAGGCGGCUCUCUGGACCGAUACUGGCGCUGAGGCGCGAAAGCGUGGGGAG